GUGAGGAAUAUUGCGCAAUGGACGAAAGUCUGACGCAGCAACGCCGCGUGGGCGAUGAAGCUCUUUUGAGUGUAAAGCCCUGUUAGGUGGGAAGAAAGAUCAGCCAUCCGGCUGGUCUGACGGUACCUCCAGAGAAAGCUCCGGCUAACUCCGUGCCAGCAGCCGCGGUAAUACGGGGGGAGCAAGCGUUGUCCGGAUUCAUUGGGCGUAAAGGGCGCGUAGGCGGGUCUAUAAGUGAGUGGUGAAAGCCUGGGGCUUAACUCCAGAAUUGCCUUUCAUACUGUAGAUCUCGAGUUCGGGAGAGGAAGAUGGAAUUCCUGGUGUAGCGGUGGAAUGCGUAGAUAUCAGGAGGAACACCAGUGGCGAAGGCGAUCUUCUGGCCCGAUACUGACGCUGAGGCGCGAAAGCGUGGGGAGCAAACAGGAUUAGAAACCCGUGUAGUCC
This 444-nucleotide ribosomal RNA is filed under the name uncultured bacterium. RNAcentral describes it as "bacterial SSU rRNA". It matches the Rfam family "Bacterial small subunit ribosomal RNA", at positions 354 to 796 of the family's 1533-position model. The record is from RNAcentral.